This 531-nucleotide ribosomal RNA is filed under the name Triticum aestivum (bread wheat). RNAcentral's name for it is "partial small subunit ribosomal RNA". Lineage: Eukaryota; Viridiplantae; Streptophyta; Magnoliopsida; Poales; Poaceae. The record is from RNAcentral.
AUGCCUAAGAUAAAGACGAGCCGUGUGAAGUAUCCUGAAGGAUGGGAGCUUAUUGAACCAACUCUCCGUGAUUUGGAAGCCAAAAUGAGAGAAGCCGAGAACGAUACACAUGAUGGGAAGAGGAAGUGUGAGGCUCUCUGGCCAAUCUUCCGUAUUUCUCACCAAAAGAGCCGUUAUAUAUAUGAUCUCUACUAUCGAAGGAAGGAGAUAAAAAGGGAGCUGUAUGAGUUUUGCUUGGACCAAGGUUAUGCAGACAAAAAUCUGAUUGCUAAAUGGAAAAAGACUUACAGUAUGUUGGAUCAUGUUCAGUUCUCUCUCAGACAGAGAAGUGCCCCUGCUCCUGACCUGUGCAAUUGGACAUAUUGCCUGAAUAUCAAGUACCCCAUGAUGAUUUUUUGUUACUGGUGUGCUGUUGUAACUGCUCGUAUUUGCUACAGACUUACAGUAUGUUGGAUCAUGUUCAGUUCUCUCUCUAGUUUGUAUAGUAAUCACCAGAGUUUACCAAGUUUCAAUGCUAAGGUUACCUUGUAA